RNAcentral lists this ribosomal RNA (329 nucleotides) under uncultured Marinobacter sp. RNAcentral describes it as "bacterial SSU rRNA". It matches the Rfam family "Bacterial small subunit ribosomal RNA", at positions 1051 to 1378 of the family's 1533-position model. Lineage: Bacteria; Pseudomonadati; Pseudomonadota; Gammaproteobacteria; Pseudomonadales; Marinobacteraceae. The record is from RNAcentral.
GUCGUCAGCUCGUGUCGUGAGAUGUUGGGUUAAGUCCCGUAACGAGCGCAACCCCUAUCCCUGGUUGCUAGCAGGUAAUGCUGAGAACUCCAGGGAGACUGCCGGUGACAAACCGGAGGAAGGUGGGGAUGACGUCAGGUCAUCAUGGCCCUUACGGCCAGGGCUACACACGUGCUACAAUGGUGCGUACAGAGGGCUGCAAACUCGCGAGAGCCAGCCAAUCCCUUAAAACGCAUCGUAGUCCGGAUCGGAGUCUGCAACUCGACUCCGUGAAGUCGGAAUCGCUAGUAAUCGCGAAUCAGAAUGUCGCGGUGAAUACGUUCCCGGGA